Molecule: non-coding RNA, 1155 nt
Organism: Pelodiscus sinensis (Chinese soft-shelled turtle)
Lineage: Eukaryota; Metazoa; Chordata; Testudines; Trionychidae
Source: RefSeq, a predicted model, not a curated record
GGGAUGCUGAGAACCGUUGAAUCAAACUGUAACUGCUGUAUCUGAUGGAAGCCUCUUGAAGGCAGGGGAUGCUACAGCACCCCCUCCCCCAGUUUCAACACCACCUCUGAUUGCCACCCAAAGAAAUCAAUGGAUUUAUAAUUUUCCACUUCUGUUUACUGGCCACUUCGCUCUCAAAGCCACUGACAGCAUUCUCAGAACUAGAAGAAAAAGCUGCUGCACUGUUUAAAGUCUAUAACACAUGUCGGCCUAUUAUCCAUCUGACUACCCCGUUGAACAAUGUGACAAUGGAAAGCAUCCCAAACUGCUUGAAAUUUGAUCAAAAAGUGCUUGCCCCAUAUUGUAAGGCGUCGUAUGUUUUCCACUCUAUUUUAGACUCUAUUUCAUCAAAAAAGAAAACUUCUCUCUAUUUGUUAUGUAAUGAGCUUAGCUUCAAGAAUUUAGUAGUUGCAAACGUCGUCCAACUGAAGAUCCUGCUAAAUAACAUCUUAUGCUACUUUCCACGACGACCUAAAAAUAUUGAGCAAAAUGAUCCAACCUCCAACUUUGACAAGCUAAUUUAUUUCUGGUGGGUUUUCCAACGGUAUGAACAAUGUAUGAAGCAAAUGAAUAUAGUCAAGGCCAAACCAAAUAUACCAGCAUGAAAAUGUUUAACUCCAGACAUUGUGGGCAUCUAUUAAAUACAAUCGAUCAUUAUUUAUGGGAUGGUUGGUACUAGGGACUCAGUAGAUAGUUUACCUAUUGGCUCAUGAAUUACAUGAUCCUUUUAAAACUAAAAUAUUUAAAGCAUAAGUGUUUUAAAUUAUAUUUAUUGGAAGGCUAUUUAAUCUGUAUUUAUUUGUGCUAGUAUAUCAAUGUUGAGUCUUGGAUCCACAGGGAGCUAAAUCCAAAACUCCUUAGCCAUGCAAGAUAUUGGGUUUUGCUGCUUGGGGUUUGAUAGGCGUUUGGCCUGAGAAAAGCACAAAGAAUUAGAUCUUGUAUGUCUGAUGAACUGAGCUUGUAUUAGGCUACAUCCCAGCUGUAUUUGUGCUUUCCCUCUGUCUAAGAGCAGCUGUGAAUGGUCUCAGAAUAAUGUAUGCUAAUACCAAUUCCUCUUCCAUGCGUUGGGAGCAAAUACCCUGUAUAGUGUCAAGAAAACAAAUAAAAGGACCAACU